RNAcentral lists this ribosomal RNA (258 nucleotides) under uncultured bacterium. RNAcentral's name for it is "partial small subunit ribosomal RNA". It matches the Rfam family "Bacterial small subunit ribosomal RNA", at positions 26 to 286 of the family's 1533-position model. The record is from RNAcentral.
AGGACGAACGCUGGCGGCGUGCUUAACACAUGCAAGUCGAGCGGAAAGGCCCUUCGGGGUACUCGAGCGGCGAACGGGUGAGUAACACGUGAGCAACCUGCCCUUAGCUCUGGGGACUAGCUCCGGGGAAACCGGAAUUAAUACCGGAUACGACCUAGGCCGACAUCGGCCAUGGUGGAAAGUUUUUCGGCUAGGGAUGGACUCGCGGCCUAUCAGCUAGUUGGUGGGGUAAAGGCCUACCAAGGCGACGACGGGUAG